Molecule: ribosomal RNA, 447 nt
Filed under: uncultured bacterium
Lineage: Bacteria
Description: bacterial SSU rRNA
Rfam family: Bacterial small subunit ribosomal RNA
Source: RNAcentral
UCGGGAAUUUUGGGCAAUGGGCGAAAGCCUGAUCCAGCCAUGCCGCGUGAGUGACGAAGGCCUUAGGGUUGUAAAACUCUUUCGUCGGGGACGAUAAUGACGGUACCCGAAGAAGAAGCUCCGGCUAACUUCGUGCCAGCAGCCGCGGUAAUACGAAGGGAGCUAGCGUUGUUCGGAAUUACUGGGCGUAAAGCGUACGUAGGCGGUUAUUCAAGUCAGAGGUGAAAGCCCGGGGCUCAACCCCGGAACUGCCUUUGAAACUAGAUAGCUAGAAUCUUGGAGAGGUCAGUGGAAUUCCGAGUGUAGAGGUGAAAUUCGUAGAUAUUCGGAAGAACACCAGUGGCGAAGGCGACUCACUGGACAAGUAUUGACGCUGAGGUACGAAAGCGUGGGGAGCAAACAGGAUUAGAUACCCGUGUAGUCCCUGAGCGGGCUGGCAAGGCGCAU